UGGGAGGGCUGGGGGCGGGGCUUGGCAGUUAAAGCCCAUACUGUGGUUGCUGGGUGUGAGAGUAGUUGGGAGUACAGAGUAAGGAUUAAAUACACAGGAUCGGCAUUUAAAAACAAAAAUGCAGAUUUUGGUAAGGUGGCAGUUAUGGUAUAGGUUUUGGAUCUCCCCACAUCACUCCAUAAAAACAGAAUUUGGCUGGGAUAGCAAAACUAAAACUCCUGGAUGAGAUCCAUGCCAGAUCUAGGUGACAAGCCCCACAAACCCUGAGUACGAGCAGGUCGUCUGGUAGACCCAAGAACCCCCAAAUGAUGAUCAGGAAGUUGAAAUCGCAGUGAGCCAAUUCGGGAGCGGCCGCUGGAACUGGGGGUGGUUUGCACACCCCAGUGGGUGAGUGGGAGGGAUUUGUGGUGAGGCCUGCAGGGGCUGGAGCAGUCAAUGUCCCAGGAACUUCUAGGACAAAGUCCCUCGCUGAGGAGAAACUGCUGGGGACAGGAUCCCAAAGGAAGCGGUGCAGGUGCAGGAGACACAAAGGAAAGCAAAGGUCCAGUCAGAGGGAACAGAGCCAGGACUUUGAAGGAAGUGACUGACAGCUGCAUGCACGACUCUGUCCCUGCUGUUGGCAAACUCAAAAUAGAGCUGGGAGAGCAGAGAAUCUUCUGAGAGGGUCUGGCUUGAAUGGAGAGCACAUGGAAAGCACACGGUUUGGUCUGUGCCAGCGAUGCAGGGAAAAUGCCACAUCCCCAGAGGAAUAGAGAAUACAAUCCUAGAAUUCUAAAUGGGACCACAAAGGAAUCUAAAUGGCCAAAGCAAUUGUGAGCAAGAAGCACAAAGAUGGAGGCAUUAUACUUCCUGACUUCAGAGGAUAUUACAAAGCUACAAUAUUCAAUACAGUAUGGUACUGGCAUAAAAAACAGACACCUAGACCAAUGGAACAAAACAGGGAGCCUAGAAAUAAACUCAUACAUAUACAUUCAACUGAUCUUUGACAAAGGUAUCAAGAAUGUAGAAUGGGGAAAGGAUAGUCUUUUCAAUAAAUGGUGUUGGAAAGACCAGAUAUCUACAUAUAAAAGAAUGAAAUUUGACCCUUAUAUACCAUACAUAAAAAUUAACAAAAUGGAUUAAAUACAUAAAAGUAAUAUCUGAAAUGCUAAAGCUCCUGAAAGAAAACAGGGAAGACCUUUUUGACUUUGGUUUUAGCAAUGACUUCUUGGAUAUGACACCAAAAACACAGGUAAAAAAAAUCUAAAAUAAACAAGAAACUGAAAAGCUUCUCCAAAGCAAAGGGAAAACAAUUAACAAAACGAAAAGGUGACCUAUGCAAUGGGGUAAAAGAAACCACAUACCUGAUAAAGGGUUAAUAUCCAAAAUAUAUAAAGAACUCCUAUAACUCAAUGUCAAAAAUAUAAAUAAUCCAAUUAAAAAAUGGGCAAAGAGGGGCGCCUGGAUGACUCAGUCAGUUAAGUGUCUGACUUCCACUCAGGUCAUGAUGUUGCGGUUUGUGGGUUCAGGCCCCGUGUCAGUGUCUGUGCUGACAGCUUGAAGCCUGGAGCCUCCUUCAGAUUCUGUGUCUUCCUCUCUCUCUGACUCUCCUCUGCUUGUGCUCUGUCUCUCAAAAAUGAAUAAAUGUUUUUUAAAAAAAGUCAAAACAAAGUUUAAAAAAAUGGGCAAAGAAACUGAAUAGAUAUUUCUCCAAAGAAGACAUACAAAUGGUGAACAGUUUUAUGAAAAAGUGCUCAACGUCACUAAUCAUCAGGGCAAUGCAAAUCAAAACCACAGUAUCACCUUAUAUCUGUUAAAACAGCUAUUAUAAAAAAGACAAGAGGCAACAAAUGCUGGUGAGGAUGUUGAGAAAAGGGAACAGGUAUGCACUGUUGGUGGGAAUGAAAAUUGGUGCAGCCACUGUGAAAAACAGCAUGGAAGUUCCUAAAAAAAUAAAAUAAAACUACCGUAUAAUCCAGCAAUCUCACUUCUGGAUAUUUAUUCAUUUAUUAUUUAUUAAAUUUUUAAAAAUGUUUUUAUUCAUUUUUGAGAGAGAGAGAUACAGAGCACUAAUGGGGGAGGGGCAGAGAGAGAGAGGGAGACACAGAAUCUGAAGCAGGCUCCAGGCUCUGAGCUGUCAGCACAGAGCCUGACAUGGGGCUCAAACCCACCAACUGUGAGAGCGUGACCUGAGCCAAAGUCAGAUGCUUAACUGACUGAGCCACCCAGGCUCCCCUCACUUCGGGAUAUUUAGCCAGAGGAAUUGAAAUUAGGAUCUUGAAGAGAUAUCUGCACUUGCAUAUUUACUGCAGCAUUAUUCACAAUAGCCAAGAUUUGGAAGCAACCCAAAUGACCAUUAUGGAUGACUGGAUUAACAAAAUAUGGUAUAUACACAAUGGAAUAUUAUUCAGCCAUAAAAAGAAGGAAAUCCUGCCAUUAGCAAUGAUACAGAUGAACAAGGAACAUACUGUACUAAGUAAAACAAGCCAUGCACACAAGUAAAAAUGGUACAUGAUACCACUUAUAUGAGGAAUCUGAAAUAGUCACACUCAGGGGCAGAGAAUAAGUAGUGGUUGUCAGGGGCUCCAGGGAGGUGAAAAUGGUGAAGUAUUAAUUAAAGGGUGCAAAGUUUCUGUUAGACAAGAUGAAUAAAUCCUAGAGAUCUACAAUAUAGCACAGCACCUAUAAUUAACAAUAGUGUAUUGUAUACUUAAAUAUUUGCUAAGAGGAUAGUUUUCAUGUUAAGUGCUGUUUUCACAAAAACAAUAAAAUAAAGAGGGUGGGAGUUAAAAAACAAAAUAAGCCACAAAUUUCAGCUAUUUAAACUGUGAAAGGUUAAAAAACUUCUCGGGUUUGCUUUUUAACAUAGAAAAUUGUGGCUAUGAACACUGAUUAAUAUACAGAGUUGUUGAAUCAUUAUAUUAUGCACCUGAAACUACUAUAACACUGUAUGCUAAUUAUACUUCAAUAAAUAAAGAAAAAAGAGAAAUUAUGUAAUCUUUUUCAGAUUUUUUGUUAUGUUUUCUACCUAGCUGGGCCC
This is a long non-coding RNA of Acinonyx jubatus (cheetah), 3019 nucleotides long. RefSeq lists it as uncharacterized. NCBI's taxonomy places the organism in Eukaryota, Metazoa, Chordata, Mammalia, Carnivora, Felidae. The transcript is spliced from 4 exons. The record is from RefSeq and is a predicted model, not a curated record.